CUGACGCAGCAUGCCGCGUGAUGAGAGGGCCUUCGGGUUGUAAAGUUCUUUCGGUGACGAGGAAGGCGUGAUGUUUAAUAGGCAUCACGAUUGACGUUAAUCACAGAAGAAGCACCGGCUAACUCCGUGCCAGCAGCCGCGGUAAUACGGAGGGUGCGAGCGUUAAUCGGAAUAACUGGGCGUAAAGGGCACGCAGGCGGCUAUUUAAGUGAGGUGUGAAAUCCCCGGGCUUAACCUGGGAAUUGCAUUUCAGACUGGGUAGCUAGAGUACUUUAGGGAGGGGUAGAAUUCCACGUGUAGCGGUGAAAUGCGUAGAGAUGUGGAGGAAUACCGAAGGCGAAGGCAGCCCCUUGGGAAUGUACUGACGCUCAUGUGCGAAAGCGUGGGGAGCAAACA
RNAcentral lists this ribosomal RNA (396 nucleotides) under Aggregatibacter segnis. RNAcentral's name for it is "bacterial SSU rRNA". It matches the Rfam family "Bacterial small subunit ribosomal RNA", at positions 383 to 774 of the family's 1533-position model. Lineage: Bacteria; Pseudomonadati; Pseudomonadota; Gammaproteobacteria; Pasteurellales; Pasteurellaceae. The record is from RNAcentral.